CACUUGUUGGGGGGGUUGGUUGGAUGGCCAGGGUUGGGGCUUGGAAGGACGCCGGCCGAGAAUUGACCACGCUGGAGCCUAGGCCCCCAGGGAUGCACACCUGCAGCCUCUGUGGGACCCCCGCUCCUAAAUGCGGAAGCCUGGACGUAGAGAGGGGAACUACCAAGGUCACACAGGAGUUAGUGGCUAAGCGUGGGUAAGAACCCGGUCUCCCGGCCUAGGGCUUCUCUGCUGAGCGUCUCCCAGCGACUGGCGGUUUUGUGUUCUGAAGGCGCCCGCCGGGAAAGCCUCCCUUCUGCAUGUAUUACAGUGAAUUGCCAACUUUUACGGAGGGGGUUUCUUGCUACUGUCUCACUGAAAUUCCCUCCACCCACACCCUGCAGCUCUUUAAAGUUCAUCUCAGGUUGAUCUGGGGCCAAGUUCCUAGCCCCGAUGUCCCCUCCCUCCCUUCUGCGAGACCACGAGGCUCCAGUGACUUUUUUGACCCAUAGAUGACCCCCUUCCCCCUACCCCUUUGCUUGAGUGGCCUUGGGGCAGAGGGUAAGUGUGGGAGGCCUGAGCUGCCCCUGGGGGACAAAAACAAAGGGAGUACUCAGCUCCAGGCACCUGAGUAGAGGCUGAGGGGGAGGCAGUGGGAGGGGGGUACUGAGGGCUGCUGCCUUCUGCCUUCAAGUGGGUUUUUAAGACUAAGGGAGCCCCGGGCCCGGUGAUGGAGGAGGCUGCCCUGGAAAGUCGGAGGUGCCUUUCCAGUCCCCCUCUCCUCCCUCUGAGCUCGCCCGUCUCCCUGCCCCCCACCUCCAACAUUGGGGCCAUUCACGGGGCCCCUCACCAGCUGCCCUCCCUUUUCUCACUUCAGCCAGCUCCCUUCCCUGGAAGGAGCCCAAGAGGAGGACCCAGCUGCAGCUCCAGAUGUGGAAGAAGCUCUCUAGGGGAAGGGAGGAAGGGGAGCCUGGCUCCAGGCCUCUUGCAUCACCCUCAGCUGAUGAAACCACAUCGGAGAUUUUGAAAAGCCUGUGGGUUAGGGGAUGAGCAGUGUCUGGGGUGCCACUCUCCUCUCGUUCCCUCCCCCCACCCACCCCACAGAUGACUGCUCCAUCCGUAGCCCCCAAACCAAAGUAAUUUCAAGAGCAAACCCAUUCCCCACCUCCACCCCAUCCUCUGGCAAACAGGCGGCAGCUGCCAGCAGUUUCCCAGGAUGGAGGAGGGGCAGGGGGAUAGGGAAGGUCCUGGGGGGGACCCCACACCUUUCACUAGCAUUUGAAUCUGGAGGACGGGCUCUCUGGGGCCAGCAGUUGCCCCUCCCGGGGCAGGAGGCCAGCAGAGUGUUGAGUCCAUCCAACCAAAGUGAGAGAUGGGCGGAGACUAAUAUGAGAGGAGCUUCUCCAACCAGCAAGGAGCCCGACGUGGAUGUUCUCAUUUCAUGCUCAUGACCUUGUGAGCUAGGCUGUAUUCUUUUUAAUUUUUGCUGAUGGGGAAACUGAGUCUCACCCAGCAUAUAAGUGGCAGAUCCCGGAUUUGAACUUUGCAUCCGGUUCCAGGCUUCCCAGAUCCCUUCCAGUAGCUGUGCAGGGACGGGAGCUGGGCUGGUGGACAGAGCUGGGCUGACACAGGCUUUGACUCCAGGCUUUGUCCUCUUGGAGGCUCGUGCGGUAUUUUGCAAAGCUGCCCUCCUGCCCACAAGACUCUGGGCUUCUCCAGGGCCCAACUCUGGUUUCCUGCCUCCAGGAAGUCCCCUCUGACUUCUGAGAGUAGGUGACCCUUCUGACUCAUAGAUUCACUGCUGGGAAAUGGCGCCAGAAGCGCUGCCCCCACCCCCUCCACAUCCCUCCAGGUCACAGGGGUGUCGAACCAGGAGGAGCUGGGAGGCACGUGUGCUGGAAACUCAAGCCUCCCAGAGGUCAGGGCCUCUGGGCGGCUGCCUCUCGGGCGCUGCUGCUGGAGGCGAGGAAAUCAGACAGGGAUCUGAGUUGGUAGUGAAGAGGCUUAAACUGCAGCCUGGGCAGAUUUAGUUAAGAGAGUCAGCGUGGCGGGGGGGUUGGGGGGGGGGCUGGGAGCGGUGGGCGUCUGGGCAGAUGGGAGCCUGCGGAGUUGGGGGGCCCUCUCUGAGUUGGGAAGCUCCCACGCUGCUGUGUUGAAAAUACUCCAGCAGCAACUGGGGGCAGCCAUCCAAGAGCCCGGAUCCCUCGUUCUCACAGCAACCCUAUAGUAACAAAUCCGCACACCCAAGAGCUGUCCUUAGGCCCUAGAAAUGAUGCAGAGGUGGUUUCUGAACUUGAAUCCGUCCUGUGGUUCCCCUUUAGAAUUAGCACCAGGCACUGGCAUUGGGGGGAACUCUGAGCGCUGACUUCAACUUCUAGGGAUGGGGAGUUCAGGGUUCCUGGCUUCCAGCCCCAGCCCUGCCUGGCACCUGGGCUCAGAACCCCAGACAGGGGCUAUCGGGGUGCAGACACAGGGGCCUCAGCCCAGCGAGGGCUCAGCCUGACUUCCUCUGCUGCAGGAGACAGACUUAGAGGAAACCAGAAUUUGUUAUAAAUAGCAGAGAAGAGAGAGCCCUGCGGAUUACAACUCCCCCCCCAAGGCUUUAGGAAAAAAUAGAGAAAAAGCAACUAUUUUUGGUUUCUAAUGUUAGCAAGGGUUUGAUACACCACAUAUCCUCAAGCACGGGAUCGCUGUCCAUCUUCCUGCUCUGCAGCGCUUUCUCAGAAUGCAGGCUUAGGGCCACCGAGGAUGUGGGUGCAGGCAAGUCGCCACAUCCCAGAAACCUGGAGCCCAAGAGUCUCUGGUUCAACCGCGUCAUUUUCAGGUGCAGAAAUGAGGCCCAGAGAGGAGACAAGACGUGUCCAGAGUCUCACAGUGACUGCUGAGCUGGCCCUAGGCGUCCCCGAGGGGGCAGUUCCCACCACAGCAUGGUAGGACCUCAAGGCUGAACACGAGACGGGGCCACAUGUGAGUUUACGGUUUGCAUGAACCCGAGUCACAGAAGACGGAGCUGGAGGGUGGCGUCUCCGGGUCAGAGAUCUGGGCUCGUUCCAGCUCUGCUACUUGGCGCUGUGGGACCUGGGGCAAGUUAUGUAACUGCCCCUGGCGACGUUCCCCUCAAAAUGAGGACUGCCACACCCGCUCAUCACAGGGCUAUUAUGAGGUCAAAAUGGGGUGACCUGGGUUGGGCCACCAGCUCAAGGCUCCUCUCACAGGAUGGAGAUGAAUUUCCUUCGUUUCCCCCAGACGCUCCAUCCCGUCUGUGCGCCCCUGCCCUCUGACAGCACAGAGGGCGAAUCUGUCACAAGACAUCCUUUGAGGGACAGGAAGUGAGGACACGGGGUGAAGUCUGCCUGCCCGAGGGGUCAGUGCCGAUCUGGGAGGGGACAGCGUCCAGGCACCGCUGGCCUCUCCAUGGAGGGGCCCUUGGAGGCGGGAGGGUCAGAUCACGGAUGGGGGCCACCUGGGAGGCAUCUGAGUUUUAUUUUACUCACCCCGGUGCUCCCCUGUGUCAAGGGUUUCCUCUUUGAAUCCUCACAACAAUCGGAGAUCAAAUACUGUUUGCCCUCAUUUUGCAGAAGAGGAAAUGGGCUCAGAGGUCACUUGGCUGGCGUCGCGGUCAUUUUGCUUUCCACCAAAUAUUUCCGGCCCUCCGCCUUGUGGCACAAGGCGGGCUGGCGUGGCCUCCCUGUCAUGUCAGGGGUGGCCUGUGAUAUCCUUAGCCCAAUGUGGGCAGGACUGGUACCACGUCUCCAUGGAAGCUCCGCACCCUGGCACCUUACGCCAGGUUCAUGUUGUUUCUGGAGCGUAUGUGAGAAAUGAACUUAUUGUUUGAAGCCUCUGAAAUCAUGAGCUGUGGGCUGCCUUGGCAGAGCCAGCCCGCCCUGCCCUGACUGAUGUUCAUCCUGAGUAGAGCUCGGAGCCAGAAUUCCGGUCUGUGCAGGUGCCAAGGGGCUCAGAGCCUUCCAGGAUGCUGCCUGCUUACCUCAGACGCAUGGAGGGCGCUGGGGCUCCUGGGCAACUCAGACCCUUGCAGGCAGGCGGAGGGGACAGCGACCUCUCUGCCUCCACCUGGCCCCAUCCCCAUAAUGCUUGCAGAUUGCUGGGCCCUAGGGACUUAGAAACGAGCACAGUUUCAUGUCCACCUUCUGGCCAGCUGGGCUGUGCCUUGGGGGACCCUCAGAAUCCACUCUGAGAAGCAAUUAGAAAAGUCUGGGAGUUCCCAUUGUGGCUCAAUGAUUGACGAAUCCGACUGGGAACCAUGAGGUCGCGGGUUCGAUCCCUGGCCUUGCUCAGUGGGUUAAGGAUCCGGCGUUGCUGUGAGCUGUGGUGGAGGCUGCAGAUGUGGCUUGGAUCCCGCAUCACUGUGGCUCUGGCAUAGGCUGGCAGCUAUGGCUCCCGUUCGACCCCUAGCCUGGGAACCUCCAUAUGCCUCGGGAGCAGCCCAAGAAAUG
RNAcentral lists this long non-coding RNA (4433 nucleotides) under Sus scrofa (pig). RNAcentral's name for it is "lncRNA (ENSSSCG00025005313.1)". Lineage: Eukaryota; Metazoa; Chordata; Mammalia; Artiodactyla; Suidae. The record is from RNAcentral.